Setomelanomma holmii is the source of this 86-nucleotide non-coding RNA. Lineage: Eukaryota; Fungi; Ascomycota; Dothideomycetes; Pleosporales; Phaeosphaeriaceae. The record is from the annotation of a GenBank genome assembly.
GGUCUUGUAGUGUAGCUGGUUAUCACUCCGGAUUCUGAUCACCUCAGAAUCUUCCGGCAACCCAGGUUCGAGUCCUGGCAAGACCU